UACAGAGGGUGCAAGCGUUGUUCGGAAUUACUGGGCGUAAAGCGCGUGUAGGUGGCGAUGUAAGUCGGGUGUGAAAUCCCUCAGCUUAACUGAGGAAGUGCACUCGAUACUGUGUCGCUUGAGUGUUGGAGGGGAUGGCGGAAUUCCCGGUGUAGAGGUGAAAUUCGUAGAUAUCGGGAGGAACACCGGUGGCGAAGGCGGUGCUCUGGGCCGGAACUGACGCUGAGGAGCGAAAGCGUGGGGAGCAAACAGG
RNAcentral lists this ribosomal RNA (253 nucleotides) under uncultured bacterium. Its description in RNAcentral is "partial 16S ribosomal RNA". It matches the Rfam family "Bacterial small subunit ribosomal RNA", at positions 524 to 776 of the family's 1533-position model. The record is from RNAcentral.